RNAcentral lists this ribosomal RNA (231 nucleotides) under uncultured bacterium. RNAcentral describes it as "partial 16S ribosomal RNA". It matches the Rfam family "Bacterial small subunit ribosomal RNA", at positions 118 to 347 of the family's 1533-position model. The record is from RNAcentral.
UGGGUAACCUGCCCCUCUCUCUGGGAUAACCCGGGAAACCGGAGCUAAUACCGGAUACUCCGGUUGGAUCGCAUGGUCCGGCCGGGAAAGGUCCGCCGGAGAGGGAUGGGCCCGCGGCCUAUCAGCUUGUUGGUGAGGUAACGGCCCACCAAGGCGACGACGGGUAGCUGGUCUGAGAGGAUGAUCAGCCACAUUGGGACUGAGACACGGUCCAGACUCCGUACGGGAGCA